This 460-nucleotide ribosomal RNA is filed under the name uncultured bacterium. Its description in RNAcentral is "partial 16S ribosomal RNA". It matches the Rfam family "Bacterial small subunit ribosomal RNA", at positions 338 to 795 of the family's 1533-position model. The record is from RNAcentral.
CCUACGGGAGGCAGCAGUGAGGAAUAUUGGGCAAUGGACGAGAGUCUGAACCAGCCAAGCCGCGUGAGGGAUGACUGCACUAUGAGUUGUAAACUUCUUUUAUAUGGGAAUAAAACAGGGUAUGCAUACCCUCUUGUAUGUACCAUAUGACUAAGGAUCGGCUAACUCCGUGCCAGCAGCGGCGGUAAUACGGAGGAUCCGAGCGUUAUCCGGAUUUGUUGGGUUUAAGGGGAGCUUAGGGGGUUUGUUAAGUCAGUUGUGAAAGUUUGCGGCUCAACCGUAAAAUUGCAGUUGAAACUGGCAGUCUUGAGUACAGUAGAGGUGGGUGGAAUUCGUGGUGUAGCGGUGAAAUGCUUAGAUAUCACGAAGAACUCCGAUGGCGAAGGCAGCUCACUGGACUGCAACUGACACUGAUGCUCGAAAGUGUGGGUAUCAAACAGGAUUAGAUACCCCUGUAGUC